RNAcentral lists this ribosomal RNA (459 nucleotides) under uncultured bacterium. RNAcentral describes it as "bacterial SSU rRNA". It matches the Rfam family "Bacterial small subunit ribosomal RNA", at positions 34 to 507 of the family's 1533-position model. The record is from RNAcentral.
CGCUGGCGGCGUGCUUAACACAUGCAAGUCGAACGGUGAACCAGAGCUUGCUCUGGGGAUCAGUGGCGAACGGGUGAGUAACACGUGGGCAACCUGCCCCAGACUCUGGGAUAACCUCGGGAAACCGAUGCUAAUACCGGAUACGACCACUUCGGACAUCCGACGGUGGUGGAAAGUUUUCGGUCUGGGAUGGGCCCGCGGCCUAUCAGCUAGUUGGUGGGGUAAUGGCCUACCAAGGCGACGACGGGUAGCCGGCCUGAGAGGGCGACCGGCCACACUGGAACUGAGACACGGUCCAGACUCCUACGGGAGGCAGCAGUGGGGAAUAUUGCACAAUGGGCGAAAGCCUGAUGCAGCGACGCCGCGUGAGGGACGACGGCCUUCGGGUUGUAAACCUCUUUCAGCAGGGACGAAGCGAAGGUGACUGUACCUGCAGAAGAAGCACCGGCUAACUACGUG